This is an RNA transcript of Ictalurus punctatus (channel catfish), 3103 nucleotides long. It is a transcript of the gene named uridine-cytidine kinase 1-like 1b, with no coding region annotated. NCBI's taxonomy places the organism in Eukaryota, Metazoa, Chordata, Actinopteri, Siluriformes, Ictaluridae. The record is from RefSeq and is a predicted model, not a curated record. The transcript has 15 exons.
AUGAUUUUCUCUCCCACUUUCUCUAACUUCAGUAUAUGAGAGGCAGCAGGCAGUAACAGGAGUCGCUCCUUCGUUGCUCUAUUGCAAAAUCAAGUGCCACUGGCAGAUGCCCAGUGCUUUUAGAGGCCUGUGUAAGGUGCUGUGUGCUACUGACAGGAGGAGGGUUCCAACCUGGUGCUAUUAAUACCACCACCAAUAGAAUCGAUGGGGAAAACUUAUCCUCUUACGUUGACAGGAUAGCACAGGAGGGAGGGGAGAGAGAUAGAGGCAGUGAGACACAUAGAGCAGCAGCAGCAGCUCUGACGCAGUUUAGUUUCUGACAAAUAAUCCUUUAUGAUUUCAAAAUGAAGAGCAAAACAAAUGUUUAAGUCACAGUUUUGUUUCUAUUCUACUCUAUCUCUCUUUCUCUCUUCAUCUCUCUUCAUCUCUCUCUGUCUCUAUCAGUUUUUGUUUUACACUCUCUUGCUUGUCACAACACACUUACUUAACAUCGGGCAUGUAAUGCUAUUAGCUUUGUGCCCACAUGUUUGUAUGUGACCCUGUCUGUGUGCAUGCUGACUUCGGGGCAACAAGCUGAUAUAUAAGCAGUCCUCAGUCAGGCACCUUUUUCUCCUGUCGGUUCAGUUAUGAACACACUGCCAGGCUUUUCCGGAGCCAGGAUCUCAGGCUGCUGGGCUUUAAGGGCAGAUAGCAGUAGGAGAGGUGAAGGCUCUCUGGACAGGCUUCUCCCAUCUGUCAACACAGGUCUUUCACCACGCAAACGAACCACCAGCCAAUGCAAAUCAGAACCCCCCCUGCUGCGCACAAGCAAGAGAACCAUCUAUACAGCAGGUCGUCCACCCUGGUACAAUGAACAUGGCACCCAGUCCAAAGAAGCAUUUGUCAUUGGUCUUUGUGGAGGAAGUGCUUCUGGUAAAACAACAGUAGCCCGGAAGAUAAUUGAAGCUUUGGAUGUUCCUUGGGUUGUGCUCCUUUCAAUGGACUCCUUUUACAAAGUCCUUUCAGAUGAAGAACAGUUGCUAGCUGCAAGCAAUGACUAUAAUUUUGACCACCCAGAUGCAUUUGACUUCAACCUGCUUGUCUACACACUCCGAAAACUUAAACAGGGCAAGAGUGUGAAGAUACCGGUGUAUGACUUCACUACACAUGGCCGUCAGAAAGAGUGGAAAACUGUGUAUGGUGCCAGUGUCAUUAUAUUUGAAGGAAUAAUGUCCUUUGCAGAUAAGGAGUUGUUGAAGUUGUUAGACAUGAAAAUAUUCGUGGACACAGAUUCUGACAUACGACUGGUACGGAGGCUUAGGAGGGACAUUUCUGAGCGAGGCCGAGAGAUUGAAGGAGUUAUCAAACAGUACAACAAAUUUGUAAAGCCUGCCUUUGAACAAUAUAUAGAGCCGACCAUGAGACUAGCAGAUAUUGUUGUGCCACGAGGGGGUGGGAACAUGGUGGCUAUUGAUCUGAUUGUUCAGCAUGUGCACAGUCAGCUGGAAGAGAGGAAACUCCGCUGGGAUAUGGCGGCGCUGGCCUCUGCCCAUCAAGCUCAGCCCCUACCCCAAACGCUCUGUGUUUUGGAGAGCACGCCGCAGGUCCGCGGUAUGCACACCAUUAUCAGGAAUAAAGAGACAAGCAGAGACGAGUUCAUCUUCUACUCCAAAAGGCUGAUGAGACUCCUCAUUGAGAGAGCGCUCUCCUUCCUUCCAUCUCAGGUCCAUGUUGUUCAUACCCCACAAGGCCAGGACUAUGAAGGAAGGACCUUUCAAGGGAAGAGGGUCACCGGGGUAUCGAUCCUCAGAGCAGGAGAAACCAUGGAGCCUGCACUCAGAGCCGUCUGCAAAGACGUUCGUAUUGGCAAGAUUUUAAUCCAGACCAAUCAGGACACAGGAGAGCCUGAGUUGCAUUACUUGCGUCUGCCCAGAGAUAUCAGUGAGGACCAUGUGAUCCUUAUGGACUGUACUGUGUCCACUGGUGCUGCGGCCAUGAUGGCAGUACGAGUCCUACUGGUGAGGACCAUGAUGUACAGGAGGAUAAAAUUCUGUUGGUCUCUCUGCUGAUGGCUGAGAUGGGGGUCCACUCAGUAGCCUAUGCCUUUCCUCAGGUCAAAAUAAUCACCACUGCUGUUGACAAAAAGGUCAAUGACCUUUUCCACAUUAUUCCUGGCAUAGGGAACUUUGGGGAUCGGUACUUUGGCACUGAUGCACCGCCUGAUUGGAGUGACGAAGACAUGGAUGAACCUAGCUGUUAAAAGCUAUACCGAUCCUGCUGAACUUGAGCACAUGGCUGGACACUUAAUGCACUAUAGACCUAAUGGGUCUGACUUGCAAAAUAUAGUUAAAUACCACAAGCAGCAAAUAUUUUAUAUACUUUUUAGUGUCUUUGGAAAAUCUAGCAUAUUGAAGUUUUUUAAAAUGUGAACAUUUAUUUUUAAAAAUGUAAAUGUUGAAAUGUAUAUUAAAAUAUCUGUGGUAUUGUUUUACAAUUUUACAAUAUUGUUUUAUUGUCAACAAGGAAAUAUGAUUUUAUUUUAGUAGGUGGCUUUUAUGCCACAUUUCUUUCUUUUGUUUGUUUGUUUUUAGGAUUACAGGUUUCUGAAAACACAUUGACAAACAGGUCUACCUUAGAGCUUUGUUGUGCCGCACAAAGUGAGUUCUUUUAACGACCACUUCAUCGGAAAAUGUGUGUGGGUGUUGUUUCUUUAACUUGGUUUCCCCUCUACUUGCAAAGAAAUUGCUGACCAAACCAUGAUAGUCUGUUAAUGUUGAGCUUGAUCUUUUUAGAACAAUGAAUUGAGCAAUGAAAUUAGUAUUUUUAGUAUGGGGGGUGGGGGGGGGGGGGGUGUACACCUCUGUAAACACUUACUUAUGCAAGUCUCUAAAGUAGAAGAAUUGAAUUUGGCACUUUCUUGAGCCAUGACAAAAUAGCAAAGCAGAAUUAGCAUUAGAUUUUUAAAAAAUAAUAAUAACUUGAGUGAAUUAUGAUCACUGAUUAUUUGGUCACAAAAGUAGGGACUUUUUCAGGUCAAAUGAAAUGAAUCGUGAGGUACAGAAUAUCUUAUUCUUUAUUAUAAAUAGAUUUUUUUACACACACAAUAUAUGUGUGUGUGUGUGUG